UGUCUUUUUGAAAAUAAUAUAAAGUCUAAUCUGCCCACUGAUUUAAUAAUUGAAGGGCUGCAGUAUAUUGACUGUACAAAGGUAGCAUAAUCAUUAGUCAUUUAAUUGAUGACUUGAAUGAAGGAUUGGAUGAAAUAUAAACUGUCUCUUGAUUAAAUAUAUAUAUAAUUUAAUUUUUUAAUUAAAAAGUUAAAAUAAUUUAAAAAGACGAGAAGACCCUAUAGAGUUUUAUAAAUAAAUUAAUUAAGAUUAUUUAUUAGAUAAAAAUUAAAAUUAAAUUGUUUAUUGUAUUGGGGUGAUAGAAAAAUAUAAUUAACUUUUUUUAUAUGUAUUAACAUUUAUAAGUGAUUAAAUGAUCCAAUAUUAUUGAUUAUAAGAAAAAAUUACCUUAGGGAUAACAGCGUAAUUUUUUUUUUUAGUUCAUAUAAUAAAAAAAGUUUGCGACCUCGAUGUUGGAUUAAGAUAAAAUUUAAAUGCAGAAG
Molecule: ribosomal RNA, 482 nt
Filed under: Sciomesa sp. SCTAG8184
Lineage: Eukaryota; Metazoa; Arthropoda; Insecta; Lepidoptera; Noctuidae
Description: partial 16S large subunit ribosomal RNA
Source: RNAcentral